Long non-coding RNA from Oncorhynchus tshawytscha (Chinook salmon), 315 nucleotides. NCBI's taxonomy places the organism in Eukaryota, Metazoa, Chordata, Actinopteri, Salmoniformes, Salmonidae. The record is from Ensembl.
GCACCUCGACUGAAGAAAGAAGAGAGAACCAAUUCACUAGUUACAGCAUCUGCGAGCGCUCUGCAAAGGCAGCUUCCUAGUUACAGCAGCGCGUCCCCUGAACGAUAAUGAAGCGGGAACGUUAGGCGAGAAGCCUGACCACGGAGACGGGGGUGAGAAGGUGAUAAAGCGUACUUCAUGAGCUGUAACUGUCAACUACCGCCAUUUGGAAAGUAUGAGGUAAUUAUUUUACCUAUGAGGGAGUGAGGAGGAUCAGGGAAGGGAGAAGAUGAUGAGGCAGUGGGUGGUCCACCUUCCCUGUGGCCGACAUGGUCG